UAGGGAAGGCCUUUAUCAUAAGACAACAUUUAAGCAGGGAACUGAACAAAGAUAAAGAAACAGCCACGUGGACGUGUGGUGGAAGAUCGUUUGAAGGAGGAGAAGAGCAAGUCAAAGGCCCUGAGGCAAGAGCACACUGGGCAUGUUCAAGGGCCUGCCCUGAACAAUCGUGUACAGGGAGUACAAGUCCCUCAGGCCUCUGCAGCAGCAGGAAAUGGGCUCUGUCCAAGCCACUGGACUCCACUGAUGUGCUGAACAAGUGGAACUCGUCUUUUUGAAAUGAAUGCCUCGGGUACGUCCUGUUCCCAGCUCCUUCUCCAGCACCCGCAGCCCCUCGGCUGACAUUUCAGAAACACAGCCCAAGC
This 365-nucleotide long non-coding RNA is filed under the name Pan troglodytes (chimpanzee). Its description in RNAcentral is "long non-coding RNA NONPTRT007562". Lineage: Eukaryota; Metazoa; Chordata; Mammalia; Primates; Hominidae. The record is from RNAcentral.